Molecule: non-coding RNA, 3816 nt
Organism: Saimiri boliviensis boliviensis (Bolivian squirrel monkey)
Lineage: Eukaryota; Metazoa; Chordata; Mammalia; Primates; Cebidae
Source: RefSeq, a predicted model, not a curated record
UUUCCCUUCUGCCAAGAUUGAAAAGAACCGUAAGCUGCAAUAAAAAUUUGGUUUCAACAUAACAGUCAGUUUCCCAAAAAUCAGUAUUGAGAGUCACUAACAUUAAAUGAUGAAGAUCCAAGACUGGUGUGGGGAUCUUUACUCUUCAUAGACGAGCUGUACAUGGCUUGGAAAGGCUGUCUGAAGGCAGGGGAAGGUUGGAGAUCCAACUUUGGCCUCUGCCAAGUACUCGUGCUAUUUUCUGUGUGUGAUACUAUCUGUUUUAUAACUCAGAGGCAACACCACAUACCUAGCAUAAGGCUUGAACUCCCUUUGGGGUUAUCAAUUACUUACAUAGCCUUCUUCUAAGGGAAAGCUUGCAACGGGUUCAUAUUCGACCCUUACAUGUGAUGAGCAUUCAUGUGGGCUCCACAAUGGAAGAGGUACACAGAGAUUCUUGUCAACAGAAAAUUUUAGAAAACAGCUAUCUGAUCUCACUAUGAAGAAAUCUUACUGACUUGAGUUCCUUUAUCAGAGUAGACAGGCUUAAAAUGCACUGCUUCCACUAUACUGCUGUAAUUAAUUUGCUGUUUUUGUUUUUGCACUGGUUUUGAAUUCAUUUAAUUGGUUUUAAUUCAUUUGUUUUAUAUUCCAUUUUUGUAUUUGUAUGCCAGUUAAAAAUUAUGAAAAGGCACAUUUUGGGAUUUUGUUUAGCUAAAUUCUAUAAAAAUGGAAAGAUACCUUUUAUUCGACUUACGUAAGCCUGAGGUUAUGCAGCACAGGUGAUCUUUGCAUUUCUGAAAGGUUAUCUUGUUGUUUAAUGAACAUAAAUAACUUAAGCACACUGGGAGAGCUACUAAAUAAGAGACUGAAAAGACAUGAAUUCUUACUUUGUCCACCUGAAAGGAUAGCUUGAGUUGGUGACUAAUCUUGCGUUGUUAAAAUUAGUUCCUAAAUAUUUAGAUAAGUAGUUGGUUUGAUCGUUAUUUGUAAAGUAUUAGUAGUUACAUGUUGAAUUAUCAUGUUAAGAUUUUUAGUUUGUUGUUCAUGUGAUAUGAAAGAUGCCAAUUCCUAAAACUGAAUGUAUGGCUUAUUCAGCUCAGGUCACAUACAAAGAGAAAAGCUGAAGCUGCAAUAAACACUGAGCUAUCUGGGUUUGAAGCAAAAGGCUAUGAAGUAUAUGCACUUUACCUUCUAUGUAUUUUUUAGUUCUAGUAAUCUCAUCAUGUAACAGAAAAUGAUUCUCCAGGUCCAAACACAUUUAAGUUUAAUGGUUGGGGCUACUCUAACAAUUGUGGCUAUUUCAUUUUUUCUCACUGGUUCAUUAGCAUACCAUCCAUUUAAGAACUACUUAUAAGCAUAGUAAUAUUUUAGAGGCUUUAAAAUAUAAUAGAGGAAGAAAACGUUAAAAAUCCUUUGUUUGCAGUCAAGAAAAUGUGAAAAUCAGAUUUGUAUUUGUUUUGGACAAUUGGGAACUGUCACAAUUGUUUUGAAGAUAUAACAAAUGUAUACACAUUAAGAGAUUCUAUAGUAUCAGCCAUUUUGACAUCUUUUGUAGAAAGAAAAACACCAAAAAACCCCAUAUGUUCUACGGCUCAGAAAUCAAGGAAUUCCACAAUUUUACUUUCCACUAAAAUAUUUAUUUAAUUGAUAUCUUACAGAAAUAAAUAAGAACAGUUUUUGUCUAAUAGAUCAUUUUAUAUAUAUGUAAUUAUUUAUUUAUUUUUACAAAAUUGAAGCAUAUCAAAUUGUUUUCUCUAAAACAUAGCUCAGAAAGGAAUACUAGAAAACAAACACAAAUACUGGAAGAGUCUCAUUAUUAAAUUAUAAGCAUGGGCCUUCUGAAUCGCAGCAUGACAUGUUAUUAGUAAAAGAAUGUAAGAUACGGAGUCAGGGGACCUGGGCUCCACUGUUUACUUGCUACAUGUCCUAAGAAAGUUUCUGAACUUCAGUUCUCUAUACCUUGAAAACAGGAAUGAUAUUCAUUAUAACAACUUCACAAGACUGUUGGGCAAAUUAAACAUGUAAAUGUAUAGGAAAGCUCUUUUUAGUAUGUGAAGAGCUAUAAAAAUAACAGUUUGAUUUAAUUUCAUAUAAAAGAAUCAAUGCAUACCUCCUUUUAACUGAAGAAUAAGCACCAAAAGUGUGUGUGUGUUUUCUUCAGCUGAAUUAUGUCACUCUAUAAACCUAGAGUAAGAAAAUGCACCUUAACUGAGCACCAAAGCCUCUCAGACAAAUGGGAUCCAGGGAAUGGUUCUAUGAGUUCUCCAGGCAGCUAAGUAGGAUCUAGAAAGUCCUGAGGGUCAAAGAGGGCCCUUUAAAACUCUGAAGGCUCAAAGAAAAGGAAGCCAAACAAGAACAUUUAUAUUACAUCAAAUGGCUAGGAUUAAGCAAGCUACUCCUUAUUCAGCAAUUUCGAAGUCCAUUAAUUCUUCACAGAAGAAGAAACACUUGGUUAUUAUCACCUGCAACAAUUCGCUUAUGUGAACAUGGCAUUCUGUUGUUCAAAAGGUCAAAGACUCGUGCUUAAGGGAGGAACAACUGGAAUAAAAUGGCAACUGUACCAUGAAUUCAGAUAUCAGUGGCUAAAAAGUCUAGUUACAGAAGAACAUGGGAAAGAAUUCAAGACAUCCGUAUAAUAAUGAUUCAAAACAAAGUGUGCUACAUUUCCAUGUUAUAAUGAUAAGAUGAAGUCAUAAAACUGCAAUAUUUACAGAUACAUCAAUCUUAUAACAUAAAAAAAACCUUAAUAGUGAGAAAAAUUAAGAGUAGAGAAAACAGAAAAUUUUAAGGUAAACAUUAAUACAUUUUAAAAAUCUAUUUGGAGUUAACUGUUUACACAGACACCACUUUACACAUAAUAGAAAAAUGAAUAUUUUCAGUGUUUUCAUUUUUAGUAGCAAGAUGCAGAGGAAAGAAAUAACUGUCUAACAUUAACUUAUUGUAAGGAGUUGUAUUACUGCAGAAUUACUAGGUAUGAAGUUAUGGUAUAAACCUACUCAAAACGACAAGUUAAUUCACCAUCUACUUAAAACAUUACUAACAAGAUAUUUGUGAAUCAUGUGCUAAAGAUACUGAAGGCCCUUCCAAAACUGAGAUCUAUGUUGGUUGAAAUACCAGGUCAUAUAAAGCUAGACUAGUUUACUUUCUUACUCCAACUCUUUUUAUGACUGAUGUUACUGUAAGAAAAGUACCCAUUACCUCUCUUAAUUCCCUUGUAUCAUCAGAUACAGAUAUUAUUUGGGACCACAAAAUAAAUGUUUUAUUAAGAGUGGAAAAUUAAAAAUCUUUAUAGAGCUUUUGAAAACAGAAUACUGAAAAGGGCCUAAGAAGUACCAGGCCACUGAAUAACCAGAACAAGAAACAAAUGCUUUCAUCUAGGAACAGUGUUAGCUGAUAACUACUUGGUUUUUAACCUUGUAACUUUGCUCUACAGCUAUGAAAGUUUAUUAAUACAUUAAAGUCGAUGGAAUGAAUAAAGUGUAGUUCAUUCAAGCUCUUCAGUUUCUUUGGUAAAUAGGUCUGCUAGGUCAGCCACGGUCAAGACGGAGGCCUCUGAAUGCUUCACUGAUGAAUUUGUGUGACUGCAAGGUUUUCCAAACGAGCACAGUCAGAAAGAAACCCCAAGGAAUCAGCAAUUAUAUUUGUAAUAAUAACAACUAGACCCAUAUUUUUUCUUAAGUUUUUAUAAUUGGGCUAUAAGAAACUCCCAGAGGAAAGCAAGUGAUAAAAUCAUUACUAUACCUUGUCAAAACCAGUGAAGACUUCUAUAUAUUACUUUUAGGGUUUGUCAAAAUGUUUCUUCUCUGCAAAGAAUAAAACCCCUGACAACUGCUA